CAAUAGCGUAUAUUUAAGUUGUUGCAGUUAAAAAGCUCGUAGUUGGAUUUCUGCUGAGAACGACCGGUCCGCCCUUUGGGUGUGUAUCUGGCUCUUUCUUGGCAUCUUCUUGGUGAACGUUGCUGCACUUGACUGUGUGGAGCGCUACCCAGGACUUUUACUUUGAGGAAAUUAGAGUGUUUCAAGCAGGCAUACGCCUUGAAUACAUUAGCAUGGAAUAAUAAGAUAGGACCUCGGUUCUAUUUUGUUGGUUUCUAGAGCUGAGGUAAUGAUUAAUAGGGAUAGUUGGGGGCAUUCGUAUUUAACUGUCAGAGGUGAAAUUCUUGGAUUUGUUAAAGACGGACUACUGCGAAANCANNNGCCAAGGAUGUUUUCAUNGA
RNAcentral lists this ribosomal RNA (380 nucleotides) under uncultured eukaryote. RNAcentral describes it as "partial 18S ribosomal RNA". It matches the Rfam family "Eukaryotic small subunit ribosomal RNA", at positions 592 to 976 of the family's 1831-position model. The record is from RNAcentral.